This 352-nucleotide transfer-messenger RNA is filed under the name Candidatus Cloacimonadota bacterium. It matches the Rfam family "transfer-messenger RNA". From Rfam's summary of the family: Bacterial tmRNA, also known as 10Sa RNA or SsrA, is named for its dual tRNA and mRNA-like properties. Its role is to liberate the mRNA from a stalled ribosome. RNAcentral also lists the same sequence under 1 other name. The record is from RNAcentral. Lineage: Bacteria; Pseudomonadati; Candidatus Cloacimonadota.
GGGGGUGAAAUGGUUUCGACAGGGAAUUGGUGUGGUAGAGAUGCAUGUCGGAGAUGCUAUCCACUCCGUUAACAAGUAGCACCGCAAAUUAAUUGCAAACGAUAACUUACUCUUAGCCGCUUAAUCGCGCUAACGUUCGCCUCAUCCGUGCCAUCGGGAUGAGAACGGGCGUCGAAACAGUAUGGCCGCUCGUUGAUCGAUCGCCGAUAAAUCAGCGCUAAGACCAUCGGCUGGAGCUUUGAGGGUCUGAUUGUCUUCCACCUCAAAGCUUGAAACUAAAAGACAACUAAGCAUGUAGAUUCUUUAUGGCGCUGCUCUUUGGACGCGGGUUCGAUCCCCGCCACCUCCACCA